Sinocyclocheilus grahami is the source of this 201-nucleotide long non-coding RNA. RefSeq lists it as uncharacterized. The record is from RefSeq and is a predicted model, not a curated record. Lineage: Eukaryota; Metazoa; Chordata; Actinopteri; Cypriniformes; Cyprinidae. The transcript is spliced from 3 exons.
CUCUCAGAGCGCCUAUCCCAGUGACGUCACACGCACUCCGCCACAUUCAUAGUUCAUACUCCACCCGCAGCAGCCAUGAUGCAAGAAGGGCUGGACGAUGGUCCCGAUUUCCUCUCGGAGGAGGACAGAGGACCAAGGGCAGUGAAUGUGGAUCUUCAAACUGACGCUACACUCCAGGUGGACAUUUCAGAUGCUCUGAGU